This 1475-nucleotide ribosomal RNA is filed under the name uncultured marine bacterium. RNAcentral describes it as "bacterial SSU rRNA". It matches the Rfam family "Bacterial small subunit ribosomal RNA". RNAcentral also lists the same sequence under 1 other name. The record is from RNAcentral.
AGGGUUUGAUCCUGGCUCAGGAUGAACGCUGGCGGCGUGCUUAAUGCAUGCAAGUCGUGCGGAGAGCAGGACUUCGGUCCUGUUCUUAGCGGCGGACUGGUGAGUAACACGUAACUAACCUGCCCUCAGGUGAGGGAUAACUCGCCGAAAGGUGAGCUAAUACCUCAUAAUGUGUUGGGACAACGCCCAAGCACCAAAGCCUUCGGGUGCCUGUGGAGGGGGUUGCGGCCUAUCAGGUAGUUGGUGAGGUAACGGCUCACCAAGCCAUCGACGGGUAGCUGGUCUGAGAGGAUGAUCAGCCACACUGGGACUGAGAUACGGCCCAGACUCCUACGGGAGGCAGCAGCAAGGAAUUUUGCGCAAUGCCCGAAAGGGUGACGCAGCAACGCCGCGUGGGUGAUGAAGGCCCUCGGGUCGUAAAGCCCUUUUCUUGGGGAAGAAGAUCUGACGGUACCCAAGGAACAAGCCUCGGCUAAUCACGUGCCAGCAGCCGCGGUGAUACGUGAGAGGUCAGUGUUAUCCGGAUUUAUUGGGCGUAAAGGGCGCGUAGGCGGCCCAGCAAGUCUUCUGUAAAAUCUCCCGGCUCAACUGGGAGGGUGCAGAGGAUACUACUGGGCUUGAGGACAGCAGGGGGAGGAGGAAUUCCCGGUGGAGCGGUGAAAUGCGUAGAUAUCGGGAAGAACACCAAUGGCGAAGGCGACCUCCUGGGCUGUUCCUGACGCUGAGGCGCGAAAGCGUGGGGAGCAAACAGGAUUAGAUACCCUGGUAGUCCACGCUGCAACCGAUGGACACUAGGUAUGGGGAGUAUCGACCCUCUCCGUGCCGCAGUUAACGCGAUAAGUGUCCCGCCUGGGGAUUACGGCCGCAAGGCUAAAAUUCAAAGGAAUUGACGGGGGCUCGCACAAGCAGCGGAGCGUGUGGUUUAAUUCGAUGAUACGCGAAGAACCUUACCAGGGCUUGACAUACUGGUAGUAGGAACCCGAAAGGGGGACGAUCCGUCUUUGGCGGAAGCCAGCACAGGUGCUGCAUGGCUGUCGUCAGCUCGUGUCGUGAGAUGUUGGGUUAAGUCCCACAACGAGCGCAACCCUUGCCCUGUGUUGCUCUCUCACAGGGGACUGCCCCGCAAAACGGGGAGGAAGGUGGGGAUAACGUCAAGUCAGCAUGGCCCUUAAACCCUGGGCAACACACACGCUACAAUGGUCGGUACAAAGGGAUGCGAAAGAGCGAUCUGGAGCUAAUCUCAUAAAACCGAUCCCAGUUCGGAUUGGAGGCUGAAAUUCGCCUCCAUGAAGCUGGAGCUGCUAGUAACCGCUGAUCAGCUAAGCAGCGGUGAAUACGUUCUCGGGCCUUGUACACACCGCCCGUCACGCCAUGGAAGCUGGUAACGCCCGAAGUCGAUGUGCCAACUCGCUUUGCGGGAGGCAGUCGCCGAGGGUGGGAUCAGUGACUGGGGCGAAGUCGUAACAAGGUAGCCG